AGAAUGAACGCUGGCGGCAUGCCUAACACAUGCAAGUCGAACGAGACCUUCGGGUCUAGUGGCGCACGGGUGCGUAACGCGUGGGAAUCUGCCCCUUGGUUCGGAAUAACAGUGAGAAAUUACUGCUAAUACCGGAUAAUGACGUAAGUCCAAAGAUUUAUCGCCAAGGGAUGAGCCCGCGUAAGAUUAGCUAGUUGGUGGGGUAAAGCCUACCAAGGCGACGAUCUUUAGCUGGUCUGAGAGGAUGAUCAGCCACACUGGGACUGGGACACGGCCCAGACUCCUACGGGAGGCAG
RNAcentral lists this ribosomal RNA (296 nucleotides) under uncultured soil bacterium. Its description in RNAcentral is "partial 16S ribosomal RNA". It matches the Rfam family "Bacterial small subunit ribosomal RNA", at positions 26 to 351 of the family's 1533-position model. The record is from RNAcentral.